GCUAAUAAAACUAGGGUUCGGCAGUCCCAGGUACUCAGGAGGCUGAGGUGGGAGGAUCGAUGGGGCCCAGGGGUGCACUAUGACGAUCAGGUGUCUGAACAAAUUUUAGCAGCAAAUAGUGAUCUCUCCAAGCGGAGGACCACCAGGUUGCUUAAGGAAGAGUGAACUAGCCCAGCUCCCAAAUGAAGCAGGUGAAGACUCCCAUGCUGAUCAGCAGUGGGACUGUGCCUGUAGCCACUGCACUCCAGCCUGGGCAACAGAGUGAGAACUUGCCUCU
Unclassified non-coding RNA from Colobus angolensis palliatus, 277 nucleotides. It matches the Rfam family "Metazoan signal recognition particle RNA". From Rfam's summary of the family: The signal recognition particle (SRP) is a universally conserved ribonucleoprotein. Lineage: Eukaryota; Metazoa; Chordata; Mammalia; Primates; Cercopithecidae. The record is from Ensembl.